This 283-nucleotide ribosomal RNA is filed under the name Staphylococcus saccharolyticus. RNAcentral describes it as "partial 23S ribosomal RNA". It matches the Rfam family "Bacterial large subunit ribosomal RNA", at positions 2190 to 2472 of the family's 2925-position model. The record is from RNAcentral. Lineage: Bacteria; Bacillati; Bacillota; Bacilli; Caryophanales; Staphylococcaceae.
CGUUGAAAUACCACUCUGGUCACUCUGGAUAUCUAACUUCGGCCCGUGAUCCGGGUCAGGGACAGUGCCUGAUGGGUAGUUUAACUGGGGCGGUUGCCUCCUAAAGUGUAACGGAGGCGCCCAAAGGUUCCCUCAGCCUGGUUGGCAAUCAGGUGUCGAGUGUAAGUGCACAAGGGAGCUUGACUGUGAGACGGACGUGUCGAGCAGGAGCGAAAGCUGGGACUAGUGACCCGGCCAUGGCUUGUGGAAGCGUGGUCGCUCAACGGAUAAAAGGUACCUCGGG